Molecule: ribosomal RNA, 217 nt
Filed under: uncultured bacterium
Lineage: Bacteria
Description: partial 16S ribosomal RNA
Rfam family: Bacterial small subunit ribosomal RNA
Source: RNAcentral
CGUACUCAUUCGGAUUNUAGUCUGCAACUCGACUACAUGAAGCUGGAAUCGCUAGUAAUCGCAGAUCAGAAUGCUGCGGUGAAUACGUUCCCGGGUCUUGUACACACCGCCCGUCACACCAUGGGAGCCGGGAAUGCCCGAAGUCGGUGACCCAACCGUAAGGAGGGAGCCGCCGAAGGCAGGCCUGGUAACUGGGGUGAAGUCGUAACAAGGUAUC